GGAUCGCGCCUCUCUCAGGCCUUGUCUAGAAGGGGCCACCCGCUUAUGAAAGUAAGGAAUGUUGCAGUCACGUGCCACAAGCCCCAGUGGCCUAAUGGAUAAGGCACUGGCCUCCUAAGCCAGGGAUUGUGGGUUCGAGUCCCACCUGGGGUAAAACUAACGAAUAGUUUCUUUUGAGACGGAGUCUCUCUCUGUUGCCCAGGCUGGAGUGAUCCAGCGAGCACAUCUCGGAUCACAGCAACCUCCGUCUCCCGAGUUCAAGCGAUUCUUCUGCCUCAGCCUCCAGAGUAGCUGGGAUUACAGGCAUACGCCAGCACGUCCAGCUAAUUUUUGUAUUUUUAGUAGAGCAGGUUUCACCAUAUUGGCCAGGCUGGUCUCAAACUUCUGACCUCAGGGACGCUGGAAUUGACCUGGGUCUCUGGUUCGACUCCCGUGCAACGCGUUGAGGUGGAGCCACCUCCUCCAAGCACCUAAAGCCGAAAUGCCUCCCGAUCCCUCCACACCGCGGUUCUCGCGAUCCGAAGCUGGGAAGCUGCUUCUGUCCAAUCAGGCUUUGCACCCGGGACCCUUCUGCUUACUACGUCAUUGAUCAGCCUGUGGCGUCUCCAUCUAAGACACAUGUGAUCAGUUAUCUACAUUGUGAAUCUCUGGUGGUCUAAUGGUUAAGCACUGACCUCUGAAAUUGGCUGUUUGGAGUUUGAAACUCACCUGGGGUUGUGUUGCUGGCGCUGUUUUUAAAACCCACUUUAAUAAAAGUAAUUCUUAAAAAAAAAAGAAAAAAAUCUAGGCUGGGCACAGUGGCUCACACCUGUAAUCCCAGCACUUUGGGAAGCCGAGGUGGGCAGAUCACAAGGUCAGGAGAUUGAGACUAUCCUGGCCAACAUGGUAAAACCCCGUCUCUAAUAAAAGUACAAAAAUUAUCAGGGCAUGAUGGCCUGUGCCUGUAAUCCCAACUACUUGGGAGACUGAGGCAGAAGAAUCACUUGAACCAGGGGGUUGGAGGUUGCAGUGAGCCAGUAUCAUGCCACUGCACUCCAUCCUAGCGACAGAAAAAGACUGUCUCAAAAGAAAAAAAAUCUGUAAUGUAAAAAACAAAAACCAACUGGCACAUUUUGUCUUUUUAAUAAUACUUAGCUACAUUUUGUGCAUAUGUCUAUUUCAAUUAAUUUUCCUUUUCUUCUGUAUGAAGCCAGACUUCAAACCAACGUGAGAGCAAGUCGGGCCCCAUUUCUUUUUGCCUCUCUUAGCUGGUACCUGGAAUGAGUUCAACAUUCAAACAUUCACCUCCUGAAUGUGUUCUACAAGCUACAAACCCACAAGCAACUGAAAUGGAGCGGGUUAUGUUUCAAUCUAUUGUAUUGCAGUUAAACAGCAGACAGAACUCAGUCCCUGGACUCAAGGGCAAUGGGGGUGCAGCCCAACUCUGUGGCCUCAGUCCUGCUAGUGGCUCUGUCUACAGUGAUACGGCACCCACCACCCCACUGCCCUAUGCUUGGAAGAGGGUGCCAGGAUGCAUGUGUGUGCAAGGGUAUUUGGACAUCGGGCAGAAUAAAUGCCAAUCUUUGUACCAGAGUCUGGCAUGAAGAAGAUGGCACAUUCCCACUGGGUAAUCCAAGGAGCGUUUAAAGGAGUCCCGUUUCGUACGGGCAGGUGUAAGGAAACGUGAGGACUCCAGGAUGGGCAUUAGUGAUGAGCUGUCCUCAUCACCAGGCCUGAAGGGUCACAAAAGGCAGCAGCUCCUGGAACCUGGAGAUUGGGUAUUGAGAGUCGCCCCCAGGAGCUAAGAGUCCAGAGAUGCAGAGAGCCCACGGCUACCUUGAUAUCACAGGGAGGGAGCCGAGGGAAUAAAUGCCCACCUUCAUCUUCCUUUUUCCCUCCACUAUCCUGCUGCUGAGGCUUGGCCUGAAGCCAGUGGGAGCUUGGUGGGGCCUCUCAGACUCGGGCAGAGGAGCCAAGGAAGAGCGGAGAGUCGGGCUGCUGGGUCAAAGAGAUGUCAUCAGGCAUUCAGAGUUUGCCCAAAAAAAGCCUUCAUUUUACUCAUAACCCUCACAGCAACCCUGAGAGGGAGGAAGGGGGUUGAUGGAUGGGAGGAAGGAGUGGAGGGAGUAGGUGAAAAGAAGUGACAAUGGUGCUACCCUGUGUUGGGGGAACUUCAGAAGCGCUUUGGGGAGCUGCUCAAUUCUGUUUCCCACGGGAAUGGGUCUGUUCCCUUGUAAAACAUCAGAGCUCUGAAAUGAUGUUCUCAAUAAUGUAUGCAUUUUAUUAUACUUUAGUAAACUGCUUUGUUUUGUUUUUGUGAGUCUCGCUCUUGUCACCCAGGCUAGAGUGCAAUGGCAAGAUCUCGGCUCACUGAAACCUCCACCUCCUGGGUUCAGGUGAUUCUCAUGCCUCAGCCUCCUAUGUAGCUGGGAUUACAGAUGCCCACCACCACACCCAGCUAAUUUUUGUAUUUUUAGUAGAGAUGGGGUUUCGCCAUGUUGGCCAGCCUGGUUUCAAACUCCUGAGCUCAAGCCAUUCUCCCACACUGGCCUCCCAAAGUGCCGGGAUUACGGAUGUGAGCAACCAUACCCAGCCUCUUCUCUUUUAUUCAUAAUAAAUUUACAUUAAAAUUCUUCUAAGUGUCAAGCACAGUGUUAGUCCCUGAGGAAUGUAUGACUAAGGUACAGUGCCAGCACUCAACAAAGAAUGCUCUAGAAGCCUCUAGAUCUUUCUAAUCUUUUAGUGUGAGCAGGAAUUGCAAAUGCUUGAUGGGAAGUGUGGAGUAGGAGGUACAGUUAGCAAUUUGCUGAGGUUAUAAUGGGAGGAGAACAGUGCAUAAGAGAGGGCCUAAGAGCCUUACCUCCAAGGUAGAGAGACUGCAUUUGAUCCUGUAGGCAGUGUGGAGCCAGGGGAGGGUUUUACUCGAGGAGUCAAGUGCACGAAUUUGCUUUUGGAAAAGCUCCCCUUGGCGGCAAUAUGAAGAAUGGAUUGAAGGUGGGUGAGAGUACAGGCAGUGAGGCCACUUUUAGGGUGAGGCAUGAUGGCUUCAGGAGGAAAUUACCAAGGCCUGAACACAGGUGACAGCAGUGACACCCAGAGGAAAGUAAAAGAGGAGAUUCUUAUCAAGUGGACUGUGGGGGGUGGUGCUUGACUGAGGGGGAUUAAAGAGCCUAGGAGGAGCCUGAGACGUUUUCCUAGGAUUCUGGAGGGAGGUGAUGUCACAUCCGCAGACA
Molecule: long non-coding RNA, 3212 nt
Organism: Callithrix jacchus (white-tufted-ear marmoset)
Lineage: Eukaryota; Metazoa; Chordata; Mammalia; Primates; Cebidae
Source: RefSeq, a predicted model, not a curated record